UGUCCAUGAUGACAAAUCCAAAGGCUUGUUUCUCAAAACAUUCGCAGUGGCCGCCUAAGAGCUUUCGCCUUCGCCAGGCUUGAGAGCUAGUGCUGCUUUUAUCCUUCCUUGGAUGUCUGAGACU
Molecule: small nucleolar RNA, 124 nt
Filed under: Olea europaea subsp. europaea
Lineage: Eukaryota; Viridiplantae; Streptophyta; Magnoliopsida; Lamiales; Oleaceae
Description: Small nucleolar RNA SNORD14
Rfam family: Small nucleolar RNA SNORD14
About the family: U14 small nucleolar RNA (U14 snoRNA) is required for early cleavages of eukaryotic precursor rRNAs. In yeasts, this molecule possess a stem-loop region (known as the Y-domain) which is essential for function.
Source: Rfam by way of RNAcentral